UGCGUAACGCGGUGGGAAUCUGCCUUUAGGUUCGGGAUAACAGUUAGAAAUGACUGCUAAUACCGGAUGAUGUCUUCGGACCAAAGAUUUAUCGCCUUUAGAUGGGCCCGCGUUGGAUUAGCUAGUUGGUGGGGUAAAGGCCUACCAAGGCGACGAUCCAUAGCUGGUCUGAGAGGAUGAUCAGCCACACUGGGACUGAGACACGGCCCAGACUCCUACGGGAGGCAGCAGUGGGGAAUAUUGGACAAUGGGCGAAAGCCUGAUCCAGCA
This 270-nucleotide ribosomal RNA is filed under the name uncultured Sphingomonas sp. Its description in RNAcentral is "partial 16S ribosomal RNA". It matches the Rfam family "Bacterial small subunit ribosomal RNA", at positions 107 to 392 of the family's 1533-position model. Lineage: Bacteria; Pseudomonadati; Pseudomonadota; Alphaproteobacteria; Sphingomonadales; Sphingomonadaceae. The record is from RNAcentral.